GGAAAGCUGACUCAGGAAAUGCUCCCUCUCAGCCUCUACCAAUUGUUUGGUUCUAGCCUCCAUCCUUAAAGCCUAUUCCCUUGCCUUAGCUUCCAUCUUUUUAUUCUCUUCUUGAAGGAGAACUCUUAAACUGUCCUUUAAACGGUCGUCAAAGCUCAUCCUCUGUGGUUUGGGUAAAUUGAAAUAUUGCCUUAGGGAAAU
This 201-nucleotide long non-coding RNA is filed under the name Prunus persica (peach). Its description in RNAcentral is "long non-coding RNA (PPER_LNC008021)". The record is from RNAcentral. Lineage: Eukaryota; Viridiplantae; Streptophyta; Magnoliopsida; Rosales; Rosaceae.